AAGACUAUACUUUCAGGGAUCAUUUCUAUAGUUUCUGACUUGAGAAAUGCGUUUCUAAAGUGAUUGGUCUCACCAUCCAUGAUGACGAGUUUUGAUAUUCCCUUCUGAGCGUGAAGCAGAUAGAGAGUAAUGAUUCAGUUCAUAUGCUCUUUGUCAUUGGUGACUGUUCUUUGCUUCUUCUAGGAGUAUUGAGGGAGGGAAUAUGAUCAGAGUGGU
Small nucleolar RNA from Scomber scombrus (Atlantic mackerel), 216 nucleotides. RefSeq annotates it as small nucleolar RNA U3. NCBI's taxonomy places the organism in Eukaryota, Metazoa, Chordata, Actinopteri, Scombriformes, Scombridae. The transcript has a single exon. The record is from RefSeq and is a predicted model, not a curated record.